AGGAAAAGAAACCAACAGGGAUUGCCCUAGUAACGGCGAGUGAAGCGGCAACAGCUCAAAUUUGAAAUCUGGCUCUCGGGCCCGAGUUGUAAUUUGUAGAGGAUGCUUUUGAUGCGGUGCCUUCCGAGUUCCCUGGAACGGGACGCCAUAGAGGGUGAGAGCCCCGUCUGGUUGGAUGCCAAAUCUCUGUAAAGCUCCUUCGACGAGUCGAGUAGUUUGGGAAUGCUGCUCUAAAUGGGAGGUAUAUGUCUUCUAAAGCUAAAUACCGGCCAGAGACCGAUAGCGCACAAGUAGAGUGAUCGAAAGAUGAAAAGCACUUUGAAAAGAGAGUUAAAAAGUACGUGAAAUUGUUGAAAGGGAAGCGUUUAUGACCAGACUUGGGCUUGGUUAAUCAUCUGGGGUUCUCCCCAGUGCACUUUUCCAGUCCAGGCCAGCAUCAGUUUUCGCCGGGGGAUAAAGGCUUCGGGAAUGUGGCUCUCUCCGGGGAGUGUUAUAGCCCGUUGCGUAAUACCCUGGCGGGGACUGAGGUUCGCGCAUCUGCAAGGAUGCUGGCGUAAUGGUCAUCAACGACCCGUCUUGA
RNAcentral lists this ribosomal RNA (580 nucleotides) under Fusarium cf. incarnatum OP 10.c. Its description in RNAcentral is "partial 26S ribosomal RNA". It matches the Rfam family "Eukaryotic large subunit ribosomal RNA", at positions 54 to 657 of the family's 3401-position model. The record is from RNAcentral. Lineage: Eukaryota; Fungi; Ascomycota; Sordariomycetes; Hypocreales; Nectriaceae.